This 483-nucleotide ribosomal RNA is filed under the name uncultured bacterium. RNAcentral's name for it is "partial 16S ribosomal RNA". It matches the Rfam family "Bacterial small subunit ribosomal RNA", at positions 30 to 506 of the family's 1533-position model. The record is from RNAcentral.
AUUGAACGCUGGCGGCAGGCCCAACACAUGCAAGUCGAGCGGUAGAGAGAAGCUUGCUUCUCUUGAGAGCGGCGGACGGGUGAGUAAUGCCUAGGAAUCUGCCUGGUAGUGGGGGAUAACGUUCGGAAACGGACGCUAAUACCGCAUACGUCCUACGGGAGAAAGCAGGGGACCUUCGGGCCUUGCGCUAUCAGAUGAGCCUAGGUCGGAUUAGCUAGUUGGUGGGGUAAUGGCUCACCAAGGCGACGAUCCGUAACUGGUCUGAGAGGAUGAUCAGUCACACUGGAACUGAGACACGGUCCAGACUCCUACGGGAGGCAGCAGUGGGGAAUAUUGGACAAUGGGCGAAAGCCUGAUCCAGCCAUGCCGCGUGUGUGAAGAAGGUCUUCGGAUUGUAAAGCACUUUAAGUUGGGAGGAAGGGCAGUAAAUUAAUACUUUGCUGUUUUGACGUUACCGACAGAAUAAGCACCGGCUAACUCUGU